AUGAAAAUAAUAGGCUGGAAUUGCCGGGGACUCGGAAAUGGCACGGCAGUUCGCAGUCUCCUUGAGUUGGGGAGGUCGGAAGAUCCGGAUGUUUUAUUUUUGUGUGAGACAAAACUGUUUGAGAAGGAAUUGGAGAGGUUCAGGUGGACGUUGGGGCUCGCCAACAUGUGUGCGUGGAGUUGCCAAUUAUUGUUUGGACAGAGGGAGAGCAAAGCGCGUGGUAGAGGAGGCGGUGCAAGUGGAUUCAGAUUUGAGGCACGUUGGUUCCAGGAGGAAGGUUGUCAAGAAUUAAUUCAGGAGGCAUGGGAGGAGAGUAGGGAGCAAGGAGGGGUAGAUGUCGCCGGAUCAAUGCGCUUUCUCGCGGGUAAACUCCGCAAAUGGGACAGGAAGGUGCUAGGGGAGUUGGAAGGAAGGUUAAAGAAAGCGAAGGCUGACAUAGAAAGGUGUAUGAGGGAGACGGUGACAGAAGAGAAGAUUAAAGAAGAGGCGGAGUUGAGGUGUCAAGUUCAGAGGUUGGAGGAGAAGAAAUACACA
RNAcentral lists this ribosomal RNA (534 nucleotides) under Triticum aestivum (bread wheat). Its description in RNAcentral is "partial small subunit ribosomal RNA". Lineage: Eukaryota; Viridiplantae; Streptophyta; Magnoliopsida; Poales; Poaceae. The record is from RNAcentral.